This 397-nucleotide ribosomal RNA is filed under the name uncultured bacterium. RNAcentral's name for it is "partial 16S ribosomal RNA". It matches the Rfam family "Bacterial small subunit ribosomal RNA", at positions 523 to 918 of the family's 1533-position model. The record is from RNAcentral.
AUACGUAGGUGACAAGCGUUAUCCGGAUUUACUGGGCGUAAAGGGCGUGUAGGCGGUCUUGCAAGUCAGAAGUGAAAUUCCUGAGCUCAACUCGGGCGCUGCUUCUGAAACUGCAGGACUUGAGUGCUGGAGGGGAUAGCGGAAUUCCUAGUGGAGCGGUAAAAUGCGCAGAUAUUAGGAAGAACACCGGGGGCGAAGGCGGCUAUCUGGACAGUAACUGACGCUGAGGCGCGAAAGCGUGGGGAGCAAACAGGAUUAGAUACCCGGGUAGUCCACGCCGUAAACGAUGAAUACUAGGUGUAGGGGGUAUCGACUCCCUCUGUGCCGCAGUUAACACAAUAAGUAUUCCGCCUGGGGAGUACGGCCGCAAGGUUGAAACUCAAAGGAAUUGACGGGG